UGAGCUGGCUCAUUAUUGCAGAAGAAGGGCCUGCUCUAAUUCCUGCUGGUAGAAGUGAAGGCUGUGUUUCUUUUCUGAUAGAUGCCUUAUGAUUGUGGAGAGGUUAUUUAUUUUAGGAUAUACACUGUUAUGCUUUUUACUUGUUUUUUUUUUUAGCCACAUUUUUUGCUUUGUGCUGUUGUUGCUAGAAACAGGAAUGAAAUUCAGUUGAAGGCCCUGCAUAUAACUUUAAUUUGCAGUACUGUCUUUCCAAUAUUAUGAACUGAUCACCUCUGUUCUGCUGAGGCACGGAAGCUGAUGCUGAUAGAGAAGCUGUCCUCUGCUUCGUUCACUCAGGAAAGAUAUCACUCUACAGCAGUAACUUCCACAUAACUGCAGGGAGUGUUUUGAUAAACCACAGAAGCAGAGCAAGCCAUGUGCACAAAGCCACAGCUGGACUAGUUAGGGGCUUGCUCAGAAAUUGCCUGGGACCUCUUUGGAAGGUGCUUGAAGAGAGCUCUGGGCCUCCAUCAAGUCCUGCUCACGCCCUGUAGACUCAGAGCAUUUCUUUCACUCUGUUAUCAUAAUAUCUUUGAGAAUCAUUACUGUCUUUUGUAGGGAUCAUUAUAUUAAAAUAAAUUAUAUUUAUA
This is a long non-coding RNA of Dromaius novaehollandiae (emu), 629 nucleotides long. RefSeq lists it as uncharacterized. Lineage: Eukaryota; Metazoa; Chordata; Aves; Casuariiformes; Dromaiidae. The transcript has 3 exons. The record is from RefSeq and is a predicted model, not a curated record.